Molecule: unclassified non-coding RNA, 300 nt
Filed under: fungal sp.
Lineage: Eukaryota; Fungi
Description: partial internal transcribed spacer region
Rfam family: Eukaryotic small subunit ribosomal RNA (bases 1-46)
Source: RNAcentral
AAGUCGUAACAAGGUAACCGUAGGUGAACCUGCGGUUGGAUCAUUAUCAAAAGAAGUACUUUAGAGUACCCUUUAACCCGCUGGGGCUACCUAAACAGUAGUGCCAGUCAACCUUGUGUGAACCGUUUAUUGUCUCUGGCAGACCCGCUAGUCUGUUGCCUAGUGCUCGAGCUGUGGCUCUUUUGCUUUGUGAUAGCAGCCAGCGACUGCCAGUCUUUUUGUUAAACACCUUUAUUUAAACCCGUCUUAAUCAAAUAAUUAAAUUUGAAACAACUUUUGACAACGGAUCUCUUGGCUCUC